CUCGGUCCCCUCGGCUCCGGGGGCGCCCGGCUGGGCCCAGCUCCGCGGGCGCGCCCCCGUCACCCCCUCCCAGGCCAGUUCAGGGCAGCGCCAAGGGGCCGCGGGCUCAGGCUGAGGCCUCCUCCUGCCUAGGCGUCUGGCGUCCGUUUGUCUGUCCGAGGCCUCAGCGCAGCUUACGAUUCUUCAUCAACUCGUAAAAUGAGAUCGCCGCGGAGCUCGAGCCUAUUUGGCGUCUCCGGAGACUAGCAAGACCCUCUGAAAGACACCGCGUCCCCAGGGAUAAUCCCCCGUGUCCGGCAAAGCUGCCCCGCUCGAGCGCGAACCCUGGGACCCAGCGCGGGAGGCAGACCAGCAGCUGGCCGCUGGGCUGUGAACGCCAGGACCGAGCGGAAGCUUCCCGCCCGGCCGCGAUCGGUGCCGCGGCUCUCAGGGAAGUGGCUACGCGCGUCCCUCGGGAAAGCAGAUUAUCGGAGCCCUUUCAGAGAGCGCACAACAAAUGCGCCCGCCAUCGAAUGCAUCAUUUACCACCGCAGAUCCGAGCGCUGAUGGGCAGGCAGAUAGCCCUCUGCUGGGGGCACGCGGGCUCCCCGUGCCCGUACCACUCGCCUGCCUGCCGGGGCCACUGAGUGUGCGCCCCGGUGUGCCCGGCGUGUUUGGAUGGACACGUGGGUGUGCCAGUGCAUGGGCUAACGCCGAUGCAACUGUGCGGGUGUGUCAAACAAGUGUACCACAAAAAAGUGCAGGUGUGCGAGCCCAUCCAU
This 761-nucleotide long non-coding RNA is filed under the name Homo sapiens (human). RNAcentral's name for it is "HSALNT0314539". Lineage: Eukaryota; Metazoa; Chordata; Mammalia; Primates; Hominidae. The record is from RNAcentral.